This is a long non-coding RNA of Zingiber officinale, 1034 nucleotides long. RefSeq lists it as uncharacterized. NCBI's taxonomy places the organism in Eukaryota, Viridiplantae, Streptophyta, Magnoliopsida, Zingiberales, Zingiberaceae. The record is from RefSeq and is a predicted model, not a curated record. The transcript is spliced from 3 exons.
CGGCGACCCCGAUCCUCUCCUCACCCGAACCUUCUCCUCCUUCCCCGAUCUCCCCUCUCUUCUUCUCUGUGCUCUCCCUCUCUUGCGGAUCACUCGGCGUCGAGGCCGAAGGAGACUCUUCAUCGGAGCUCGACGGUGCUAAGGAGCUGGAUCCGAUCGGGGGUCCUGAUCCGGUGAGUUCUGCAGCUGAGCGUCAACGGCGAGGUGGCUAGGGCACGGUGAGGAGCAAUAUUCACCGACUCCCAACCGAUCGACCUCCGUUCUUCUCUCCUCGCGCUGCUCAUAGUGCGAUCCACCUCUUCACUAGCCGGAUCUGGAUCGAGCCGUGCCACCCGACCGCCGGCGUGAAAGGGGCAGUUAGGGCUCCAAAGUUCUGGGCUAGGAGAAAGCAUCGGAUUUCUGUGGAUUGUCCUUGUGGCCGAUCAAUGCAUUCUCCUUUGUGAUCCAAUUGAAUCCAUUGAGGUGAGGUUCUGUUCUAUUCUGUGGUGUUGAUUCUUGAUCGCUUUGAGAUGUUUACUGCAUCAGAUCAGUUCUGGGAUGUUUCCUUCUUUGCUGUGAUUGAGGUUUCGGUUGAAUUCUUGAUCCGAAUUGUGGAGUGGAUCCAGCAAGGUGCUGUUCAGUGGGUUGUCUAGCUCCAGCAACAGCUACCCUUCCUGGUAGCACCACUUCUUCGUGUGGAUCAACAGAUCAGAGUUAGGAAUUAAGAGGAGUGAAUUCCAAAUAGGUUCUGUUCUGUCCUGUUUUGUGGAUUGGUUGGCUUCAGCAGUAACUCAUCUUGGUCUCGGCAGCAACAAUCCUCUUGUCCCAAUAGCCACAGUAGCUGUGGAAUUGAGGUAUGGUUUUUGAUCUUGCUGUAGGUUAGUUAAUUUAGGUUUAUGAUUUGGAUUAGGGUAAUUGUUUCAUGUGUUGAUGAAUUAGUCUAUGUAUUGAAUAGGGUUAGGUUUGAAUUGAAUUUUGGUUAGAACAUGUUGUAUAUCAUGUUUCGAAUUUGGAUAUUUGUUAGGUGAUCAUGUGUUAGAUGAUUAGGAAUGAUC